AACCUUAUGGACCUGCGGGCGUAUACCUGCGGAAGGAUCAUUAUUGAAUAAACUUGGUCAAGCUGUUGCUGGUCCUUCGGGGCAUGUGCACGCUUGCCACCAAUUUUAACCACCUGUGCACCUUUUGUAGAUUGGAAACGUUUCUCGAGGCAACUCGGAUUGAGGACUGCUGUGCGCAAGCCAGCUGUUCUUGUGUUUCUCAAUCUAUGUUUUUAUAUACUCCUAAUGUAUGUAUCAGAA
RNAcentral lists this unclassified non-coding RNA (240 nucleotides) under soil metagenome. RNAcentral describes it as "partial contains 5.8S ribosomal RNA, internal transcribed spacer 2, and large subunit ribosomal RNA". The record is from RNAcentral.